Molecule: ribosomal RNA, 460 nt
Filed under: uncultured bacterium
Lineage: Bacteria
Description: partial 16S ribosomal RNA
Rfam family: Bacterial small subunit ribosomal RNA
Source: RNAcentral
CCUACGGGUGGCAGCAGUGAGGAAUAUUGGUCAAUGGACGAGAGUCUGAACCAGCCAAGUAGCGUGAAGGAUGACUGCCCUAUGGGUUGUAAACCUCUUUUAUAAAGGAAUAAAACGAGGCACGUGUGCCCUUUUGCAGGUACUUUAUGAAUAAGGAUCGGCUAACUCCGUGCCAGCAGCCGCGGUAAUACGGAGGAUCCGAGCGUUAUCCGGAUUUAUUGGGUUUAAAGGGAGCGUAGAUGGGUUGUUAAGUCAGUUGUGAAAGUUUGCGGCUCAACCGUAAAAUGGCAAUUGAUACUGGCAGUCUUGAGUACAGUUGAGGUAGGCGGAAUUCGUGGUGUAGCGGUGAAAUGCUUAGAUAUCACGAAGAACCCCGAUUGCGAAGGCAGCUUACUAAACUGUGACUGACAUUGAUGCUCGAAAGUGUGGGUAUCAAACAGGAUUAGAUACCCCGGUAGUC